UGCCAAUGUGGUUGCUGGAAAAAAGCCUCUUCCUAUUCUUGACGGACCUGAUUCCGAGGAGGAGUUCACUUCUAAACCACAUGAAUGGGUAAAAGUGGAAAGGAAGAGGCCUAAAGAGGCAAAGAAAGGCCAUUUGAAGCUCUAUCUAAAAAAGAGGUCAUUUAAAACUCAACUGUCAACUCCAAGAAUGACAACAAAAAAAACGAAAGUUACAAAAACGCCACCAG
Molecule: long non-coding RNA, 227 nt
Organism: Lineus longissimus
Lineage: Eukaryota; Metazoa; Nemertea; Pilidiophora; Heteronemertea; Lineidae
Exons: 4
Source: RefSeq, a predicted model, not a curated record